Molecule: ribosomal RNA, 319 nt
Filed under: uncultured eukaryote
Lineage: Eukaryota
Description: partial 18S ribosomal RNA
Rfam family: Eukaryotic small subunit ribosomal RNA
Source: RNAcentral
CCCUUAGAUGUCCUGGGCCGCACGCGUGCUACACUGACGCCUACAGCGAGCACUUUCCAGCCCCGAGAGGCGGCUGGUAAUCGGCAAUAGGCGUCGUGAUGGGGAUAGAUCUUUGGAAUUAUGGAUCUUGAACGAGGAAUGCCUAGUAAGCGCAGGUCAUUAGCCUGCGCUGAUUAAGUCCCUGCCCUUUGUACACACCGCCCGUCGCUCCUACCGAUUUCGAGUGGUCCGGUGAAUCUUUCGGACUGCGCGCGGCCUUGAGUCGUGUCGCGGAAAGUCAGGUAAACCUUAUCACUUAGAGGAAGGAGAAGUCGUAACA